ACAUUUCAAAACAGAUCUGCGCCCAUGAAUUAUUGUCAUAUUUAUGUGCUGGACUAACAAGUAUUUUAAAAAUUUGUAUUCUCAUAUGUGGCAAAGACAAGCCAAACCAGUCACUCCACUCAAAGCGUGUUUCAGAGAUAAUAGCCAAAACAUGUCGGAAUGUCAACAUUUUCGAAAUCUGUUUAUUGCUCUAAACUUUAUGUAGUACCUAUACAUACUGUAUGCGCUAUGUUGUUAUUUUCCCUAUUUUCUACUUUAAAAAACAAUAUUUUUCUAAUCAUGCAUUGGUGAUGGUCUCUGCCUGAGGAAUGUCCCAUAUUCGUAAAAUUUGAAUUCUUAUUUCUCAAAUACUGUUAUUUAAACAGCUGUACAGUAUGUUUGAUAUCCCUUAACUUCAUAAUGAAAUGUCAGAUUUAAAUGAUUCUUUUACCAUUUUAUAACUUUCAUUUUACUGUUUAACACAGUAUUAAUAACUUAGCUACAAUCAAUUUUUUUUUGCAAAGAGGGACUGGUUUGGCUUAAACCACAUAUUGAAUAUUCUUUUUGUAAAAUAUCAAUUUUUAUCUUUGUAUUUUAGACUUCAGUGAUUUUCGUCCUGCCAGGGUAGCUUUCCAAGCUGGCAGUCUACCUAAGGGUGCAAAGGUAGAAAUCGAUGCCAUUGCCAUGGUUGAUGCCAUUACAGAUAUUAAUUAGCAAUUGGACUUGGUAGCAAGUAGGCCUGAUGGAUAGAUACUGUGAAAAAUCAAAAACAUGAAAUCAUUGUAAUAAUUAAAUUACUUCUUUUUUCCAACUCCAACAGUAAAGCACUAUCAUUCUGAAUGAAUUUAUUCAAAGAAAUGAAAUCAUUCUAAUUGUUUCAAGUAUUUUUGGUUUUGAUAAACUCAUAUCGGUAAUACAGUAGAUCAUUUCAUGUUUGGUGUUUUCAUUUGGGAUAUUAAAAAAAAAUUUUUUUUUAAAUUUAUAUAUAGUAUCUAUAUAACCAUAUUUUUAUUUGGGAUUAGUUUGUCUUGGUAUAUAUUGUAUCUAUUAUAACAAAACACAUUGAUAGUGGUAAACUAUCUAAAGCCUGAUCUCUAACUAGAUAUCCUGUCCUUAUCCACCCAAGAUGUUCCAACAAGUUAAUAAUGAAUAACUUGUAAUGUUAAUGAGAUAGAGAUUUUUGAAUAUUUAAAAACUUGAGGGAAAAAAAAUGGUAACCACCCCCCCACUUUUUUUUUAGUUUUUAAAUAAUUAUUAUUAUUAUUGUUGUUUCUUGCUAUUAUUCUUACCAUUAUUAUUCCUAAUCAAUUUAUUGCAACUCAUUGAAAUAGUGUUUACCUGAAUAGUAGAGGAUAAUGUUAUACAUAUAUAAUAUGUGUAUUAAAAGCAAUGUAAAUGUUAGUGUCCUUGAGGGUAUACUGUACGGUUUGUGUUAAUAUGAAAGUAAAAAGAAAAGGAAAUUUGAAA
Long non-coding RNA from Anneissia japonica, 1446 nucleotides. RefSeq lists it as uncharacterized. The transcript has 2 exons. The record is from RefSeq and is a predicted model, not a curated record. NCBI's taxonomy places the organism in Eukaryota, Metazoa, Echinodermata, Crinoidea, Comatulida, Comatulidae.